RNAcentral lists this ribosomal RNA (491 nucleotides) under uncultured bacterium. Its description in RNAcentral is "partial 16S ribosomal RNA". It matches the Rfam family "Bacterial small subunit ribosomal RNA", at positions 29 to 507 of the family's 1533-position model. The record is from RNAcentral.
GUGAACGCUGGCGGUAGGCCUAACACAUGCCAGUCGAACGGCAGCACAGUAAGAGCUUGCUCUUACGGGUGGCGAGUGGCGGACGGGUGAGGAAUACAUCGGAAUCUACUUUUUCGUGGGGGAUAACGUAGGGAAACUUACGCUAAUACCGCACACGACCUACGGGUGAAAGCAGGGGAUCUUCGGACCUUGCGCGAUUGAAUGAGCCGAUGUCGGAUUAGCUAGUUGGCGGGGUAAAGGCCCACCAAGGCGACGAUCCGUAGCUGGUCUGAGAGGAUGAUCAGCCACACUGGAACUGAGACACGGUCCAGACUCCUACGGGAGGCAGCAGUGGGGAAUAUUGGACAAUGGGCGCAAGCCUGAUCCAGCCAUACCGCGUGGGUGAAGAAGGCCUUCGGGUUGUAAAGCCCUUUUGUUGGGAAAGAAAAGCAGCAGGUUAAUACCCCGCUGUUCUGACGGUACCCAAAGAAUAAGCACCGGCUAACUUCGUG